Molecule: non-coding RNA, 223 nt
Organism: Caenorhabditis elegans
Lineage: Eukaryota; Metazoa; Nematoda; Chromadorea; Rhabditida; Rhabditidae
Source: Ensembl
AAAGUAUAAGAUAUCUUUUUCAACCAACCGUUCUAAUUUGCCCAUUUGUCCCGGAAGAAUGAGACUGUCAAACUGCAUGAGAGCAGGCUUUAAGUUUUUAUUUUUCCACCGCCAAUUUGAAAUUGUGUGGUAUGGAAUGAAUUCACACUUGACCGAAGCAAAUCCUUGAGCACACAUUGCUCCCAUCACAUUGUUAUCUGUUGUGUAUCGUUCACUGUAAUUA